UCCCUGGUGGCUCAGACGGUAAGGCGUCUGCCUGCAAUGCGGGAGACCUGGGUUCGAUUCCUAGGUCGGGAA
This 72-nucleotide transfer RNA is filed under the name Ovis aries (sheep). It matches the Rfam family "tRNA". Rfam says of the family: Transfer RNA (tRNA) molecules are approximately 80 nucleotides in length. Their secondary structure includes four short double-helical elements and three loops (D, anti-codon, and T loops). The record is from Rfam by way of RNAcentral. Lineage: Eukaryota; Metazoa; Chordata; Mammalia; Artiodactyla; Bovidae.